UCGACAGUUACACAUGGAACUGCCGAGAUUAGUAUUUUUAUUUAAGACAAAAAUUUAUUUUGAGAUCCAAAUUUCCCUUACGAACCGUUGAGAUACAGUACUAUCUAGCUUACGAACCGUCGAGAUAGGUAAGGAACCACCGACAUUGGGUCUCCAUUUUUUUUAAGAAAAAAAAAACUCAAAACUUAAAACCUAUCUAGCAACACACGAACCCAUAUUUCCCGACCUUUCUUCUUGUUCUUACCCAGCCACACGAACCCACGCCCCACCUUUCUUCUUCUCCUUCCCCAGCCAUACGAUCCGAGCCGCACGCUCUUCUCCCAGCCGCUCCUCCACCUCCAUCACCAUGGACCACCGAAUCCCUCCGUCCACCGCAUGAGAAUGGGUGAUCGUCCAUCGCGGAGCUCCUCUUAUAAGUAUUGAAAUCCCUAGCACCUAUCCUUCCACAAAAAUUGGAAAUUUAGAGGGAGCAGAAGUGUUAAUAAUGGUUGCGAAGCAGGAUUACAGAAUAUUCGUGGGAGGUUUAUCGUGGAAUGUUAUAGAGCAUCAGCUUGAGGAUGCCUUCGAUCAUUUUGGCAAAGCUCUGGAAGCUCAGAGGUUGUUCUUGGAGUUAUAAAGAGUUAUUGCAAGACUCACUUGGGAAGAGAUGGUAUGUCAGCAGCAAGUAAACACCUACACAUUCUUGAGAGAAUACUUUGAGAUAACAAAGUUCACGAUUAGUGGGUAAAGUGCCCUGCUUGUAGAGAGCAUACCGAUAUCAGGAAGGAAUAUUGCUUAUGUUAAUGAUAGUCAAAGAGAUUCGAGUAAUUCUUCUAUGAUUGAUACAAUUGAAGGUCUUGAAAGUAGUGCAGCAUCCACCGUGGUUCAAGGUUCAUAGGGAACUAAGUUUAUGAGAGAUUUAACUAUGACAAAAGAUCUAAAAGAAUAUCUUUCGAAACACCUUGAUGACACGUGUCUUGCAUUCCUCAAUCUGGGUGGAUAGUUUUACACCUAGCAGCCCACAAGGAAUGAUAUGAAGGUCCAAGUUGUACAUACAUAGCAGGAUGUUCGGACAAAGUCAUCAAGGGACAUCUGACCAGCUCGAUUCUGUGAUCAACUCGCAUGCACCAGCCAGGAAAUGUGAGUUGGCAAUUUUAGUAGUGAUCAUUGAUAUCUCCUAGCUUGCAUGACAUGAAGUAAUCCCUACUUUUGUAGGAUUGUUCAUACCUUCAAAGAAUACAAGCAAUCAGCCUAUACUUCCAGAAUUCCUUCAUUGUAAUUUUUGAAACAUAUUAAUUUCUUAUUUUUAUUUCUUAUUGAUUAAGGGAAACCAUUCCUAUGUAAUGAGCCCCUAUAAAAUAGUCGCUUCAUCUCUUUAUUGGGGGACGCGAAUUUAUUCAGAGAGAAAUAGCGAUAUAAAAGAGAAUUACUCAUAGAUCUUUUGUAAUAGCUUUUGCGAGAGAAUUUUUUGUUCUUAUAAGUCAAUAUAACCAAAAGAGUAGUAGACUAUUACCACUAUCAUGGGGCCGAACCUCUAAAAACUCUGGUGUUUUCUUUACAUACAGUUCUUUGCUUCUAUUUAUUUUAUCUAAUCGCUUUAAUUAAGACUCAUUGUCGUUGGCUAGAAAAGAGGUCAAUAUUUUGGAGCUUUCAUUUAGAGAAAUGAAACAACUUUUUGUCUUAAGUCAUUUUAUAGGAUACAAGAUGGAAAUACAUACUUGAAGGGGAGAUCAAACUGAUCCAGUUAACCUAAUGGUGACAGAUCCAAGCUUGUAGACAUCUGGAAACGCAAGAGAUCCACUAGGGAUAACUCCUGAACAAGUUAAUACAUAACCACCAACAGUAGGCCAUGGAGUGACUUCCCCUCUGGCUGCGGUCACUCCAGGUGUACAAGAAACUAGAAAUACUAGUAUGGCAGCCAAGUAGACCACUCCUGGCACUGAAGUCCCGUCCAUCACAAACACUCAAAGGCUAGUUGGAGAUGAUACUGAACUUCAGCACUUGCGAGUUGCGUUAGGAUUAAUGCAAUGCCACAAUAACAUCCUUCACCGUGACAAGCAAGAUACCUGAGUAGCUAUCAAUCUUUCCUUUGAUGAACAAAGAUGCCGGUUUGUAAAGACCGCUUAGUACAGCAUUCCAAGUUUUGGCAGAGUUUGCAACGAGCAAUGGGUACAAAACUGAAAUUUAGUACAGCAUUCCAUCCUCAGACAGAUGGUCAGUCCGAAAGGACAAUUCCGAUAUUGGAGGACAUGUUACGAGCCUGUGUUAUGGAUUUUGAAGGCUCUUGGAAUAAAUAUCUACCGUUGAUAGAAUUUUCUUACAACAACAGUUAUCAGAAUACGAUAGGGAUGGCUCCCUAUGAACCGUUAUACGGUAGGAAGUGUAGAUCUCCCAUCCACUGGGAUGAGACAGGGGAGAGAAAAUACUUAGGUCUGGAGUCAGUGCAGCGGACUAAUGAGGCAAUAGAGAAAAUAAAAGCUACAAUGCUUGCCUCACAGAGUAGACAAAAAAGUUAUGCAGAUCCGAAACGCAGAGAUGUUGAGUUCCGAGUAGGGGACCAUGUAUUUUUACGAGUAUCUCCAAUGAAGGGGAUCAAACGUUUCGGGAAAAGAGGCAAGUUAUGCCCUAGAUUUACCAGACCUUUCGAGAUUCUCGAGAAGAUAGGUCAAGUGGCAUACCGGUUAGCAUGGCCUCCAGCUUUAUCAGCAGUUCACAACGUAUUCCAUGUCUCUAUGCUGAGAAAAUACGUUUCAAAUCCCUCUCAUAUACUCAGUUAUGAGAGCCUUGAACUGCAGCCAGAUAUGUCUUACGAAGAACAGCCAGUGCAGAUCCUGGAUAGAAAGGAUAAAGUCCUUCGGAAUAAGACCAUAGCAUUGGUCAAAGUACUCUGGAGGAACUGCAAGGUGGAGGAAGCCACCUGGGAGCUAGAGUCAGAUAUGAGAGCUUAAUAUCGAGAGUUAUUCAGGUUAGAUUUCGGGAACGAAAUCCUUUUAAGGGGGGAAUAGUUGUAAAGACCGCUUCGUUUAAUUUAGAAAUUAGCAGUUAAUUAUGUUUAAUUAUGGAAAAUUAUUUAUAGAUAUUUAAAUAAUUAUUUAUACUAUUAUUGUUGAAUUCUAAAAUGCAUUUUAUGUCAUUUAGUGAUUUUCAUAAUUUUGCAUUUCCGGUGCCCGGUAACAUGGAACGCGGUGUUUGGCUCAGUAAAAUCACAACUUAGUAUGUUAGUAUUGUGGGACGGUUUAUUAGACAUUGCGAAUGUCGGGAUUGGCCGGGAAUUUAGAAUUUCCCAAAAUACCCCUUUAGUGCCCUUUAUGUUAUUUUAGUGUGAAGGGGCAAAAUGAUCAUUUUGCCCCGAUGUUAGUUUUUCCUUUAGUGGACUUUAAAUGGUCAAUUAUAUGGUUUAAAAUGACAAGUGUUGGCUGAAUGAAAGAGUUUAAUUUUCAUUUUGUCUCUUAUUUCAAAAGUUAGAAAGAUUAGAAAAGAAAAGCAAAAAUCUCUUUAUCUCUCCUUCUUCUCUUUUUGGUUUUGAGCAUCUGGGAUUGGGGGAUUUCUUUGUGUGUUUUCUUGCUGGAUUUAUCAAUUUCUUGUGGUCUCAACUCUUGGUAAGUCUCUUGCUUUUGUUCUUAAAGUUUUUGAAGAAAAGUGGAUAGGUUGCAUGCUAGUUUUUGAUGCUGUUGCUGCUGUUAGUUGUUGUUGUUGUUUUUGUGUUUAAAGUGCUGAAUUAAAUGUGAUUAGAUAGGUUGAAAUGCAUGCUAGUUAUCCUUGUUCUAGUUUGAGAAUUUUUGGUUCAAAAGCUUUGGUUUUUCAAAGAGAAAAGUUGAAAAUAGUUGCUGUUAAGUUUGGUUGAGUUUGUGUAUGUUUUCUGCAGUUUCUAAAUGCAUGAUUAUGUAGUUUGAUUCAAGUUUAGAUGCUUGUAGGUGAGCUUUAGCCAAAUUUGAGUUUAAAACUCAAAGCUUGGAGCUCACAUGGCAUUUUUAUUAUCUGUGUGUUCUGGGCUGUUUUAGUGCUUUGGAUUUGUUCUUUGGGGUAUUUAGAACAGGUCUAGAAGGUUUGGGGUGAAUUGGAUUUGAUUUGAGCAAUGUGUGAAUUUUUGAAAGUUUCCUGCGAGGAGCCGGAAUUCCGGUUGUGCAUCCGGAAUUCCGGAUGGGGUUCUGAAAUUUCCAGAACCGGAAUUCCAGUUGUGCAACCGGUCUGCCGGUUGGGUGAUUUUCAGGAACCCUAGAUUUUCUCGUUUUUAUGUUAUUUGGGGUAUUGCCAUGCUUUUUAUCGAUAGGGAAACUUUUAGUUCCUAGUUUAAGUCCCCGGAAAGUGAUUUAGCGUAUCACUUAUAGUGUUGUGAUUGUUAUGGUUUAGGAGCCUGUAAACCGCCGUGCAGUUCGUUCUAGUCAGGUUGACCGGCACACCUGAAUUCGGAAUUGAGGUAAGAUUAGUAUAACAGUAUGCAUAUGUAUUACAUGUUUAGCGUGCAUGUAGGAAGCCUGUUAGAUUACAUUAGAUAUGUAUGUUGGCUUCUAACCAUCCGACCGUGUCACAUCGGUACAGGCUAGAGUAUGACUAGUAGCUGGAGUAUGACCAAUGUACCGAGUAUAGGCUGACACUGUAUCACAUCGGUACAAGCUAGAAUAGGACUAGCAUCUGGAGUAUGACCAGUGUACCGAGUAUAGGCUGAUACUAGGGUUGGUGGUUCUGUACUAUUUGACGUAUCACAUC
Molecule: long non-coding RNA, 4686 nt
Organism: Cannabis sativa
Lineage: Eukaryota; Viridiplantae; Streptophyta; Magnoliopsida; Rosales; Cannabaceae
Exons: 6
Source: RefSeq, a predicted model, not a curated record